ACGGGAGGCAGCAGUGGGGGAUAUUGCACAAUGGGGGAAACCCUGAUGCAGCGACGCCGCGUGAGCGAAGAAGUAUUUCGGUAUGUAGAGCUCUAUCAGCAGGGAAGAAAAUGACGGUACCUGACUAAGAAGCUCCGGCUAAAUACGUGCCAGCAGCCGCGGUAAUACGUAUGGUGCAAGCGUUAUCCGGAUUUACUGGGUGUAAAGGGAGCGCAGGCGGUACGGCAAGUCUGAUGUGAAAGCCCGGGGCUCAACCCCGGUACUGCAUUGGAAACUGUCGAACUAGAGUGUCGGAGGGGUAAGCGGAAUUCCUAGUGUAGCGGUGAAAUGCGUAGAUAUUAGGAGGAACACCAGUGGCGAAGGCGGCUUACUGGACGAUAACUGACGCUGAGGCUCGAAAGCGUGGGGAGCAAACAGGAUUAGAUACCCUGGUA
This 434-nucleotide ribosomal RNA is filed under the name uncultured Roseburia sp. RNAcentral's name for it is "partial 16S ribosomal RNA". It matches the Rfam family "Bacterial small subunit ribosomal RNA", at positions 341 to 792 of the family's 1533-position model. The record is from RNAcentral. Lineage: Bacteria; Bacillati; Bacillota; Clostridia; Lachnospirales; Lachnospiraceae.